ACGAACGCUGGCGGCGUGCCUAAUACAUGUAAGUAGAACGCUGAAGAGAGGAGCUUGCUCUUCUUGGAUGAGUUGCGAACGGGUGAGUAACGCGUAGGUAACCUGCCUUGUAGCGGGGGAUAACUAUUGGAAACGAUAGCUAAUACCGCAUAACAAUGGAUGACACAUGUCAUUUAUUUGAAAGGGGCAAUUGCUCCACUACAAGAUGGACCUGCGUUGUAUUAGCUAGUAGGUGAGGUAAUGGCUCACCUAGGCGACGAUACAUAGCCGACCUGAGAGGGUGAUCGGCCACACUGGGACUGAGACACGGCCCAGACUCCUACGGGAGGCAGCAGUAGGGAAUCCUCGGCAAUGGGGGCAACCCUGACCGAGCAACGCCGCGUGAGUGAAGAAGGUUUUCGGAUCGUAAAGCUCUGUUGUAAGUCAAGAACGGGUGUGAGAGUGGAAAGUUCACACUGUGACGGUAGCUUACCAGAAAGGGACGGCUAACUACGUG
Molecule: ribosomal RNA, 496 nt
Filed under: uncultured bacterium
Lineage: Bacteria
Description: partial 16S ribosomal RNA
Rfam family: Bacterial small subunit ribosomal RNA
Source: RNAcentral